This 76-nucleotide transfer RNA is filed under the name Variovorax sp. RA8. RNAcentral's name for it is "tRNA-Trp". It matches the Rfam family "tRNA". Rfam says of the family: Transfer RNA (tRNA) molecules are approximately 80 nucleotides in length. Their secondary structure includes four short double-helical elements and three loops (D, anti-codon, and T loops). Further hydrogen bonds mediate the characteristic L-shaped molecular structure. tRNAs have two regions of fundamental functional importance: the anti-codon, which is responsible for specific mRNA codon recognition, and the 3' end, to which the tRNAs corresponding amino acid is attached (by aminoacyl-tRNA synthetases). tRNAs cope with the degeneracy of the genetic code in two manners: having more than one tRNA (with a specific anti-codon) for a particular amino acid; and 'wobble' base-pairing, i.e. permitting non-standard base-pairing at the 3rd anti-codon position. The record is from RNAcentral. Lineage: Bacteria; Pseudomonadati; Pseudomonadota; Betaproteobacteria; Burkholderiales; Comamonadaceae.
GGGUGUCUAGCUCAACUGGCAGAGCGCCGGUCUCCAAAACCGGAGGUUACAGGUUCGACUCCUGUGAUGCCCGCCA